GUUGGAAAAUUGAUAAGCCUUGUUAUUUUGAAGGCCAUAUGAUUUAUGCCGGAAGCAGAAGAAGUGCUCUCGGGAGAUAUUUUUAGUAUUGCUAUCAGACAUUGGAAAAUUGAUAUUGAUUGCGAUUUUGAAGAAUAUUUGUAUUGAUUCUCUAAAUAAGAAUCCAUUAAUUGGUUUAGUUACGUUUCUGAUUGGAAAUGAAAUAUAAGGUGUACGAAUGAAUUUUAAUUUUGAAUUGUAGAAGCCGAAAUAUGCAGUCCAUGAAUUUUAAUUUGCUUUGUUAAAGUGUAGCAUUUGAGACCAAAUUUUUUAGCAGAACUUUAAUUCUUAGGGCCAAGGACCCAAUAAGCCUCAACAUAUACUGCCCCCAUGCUUCCCGUGUUGCUUUUGGUAACUACGAAAGGGAGUAUUGAUAGCUACAUAAUUUCUAAUACAUUAAGACAUGGUUUUAUUUGUCCUUGACCAUACAAGUUAGUCCCUGUCCCCUAUUAAAUUGACCAACCUACCAAUAGAGUACUGAAUCUAAAUUUUGAUCAUCACAAUAUAUAGUGAAAAAAGAAUAUUUCGGUAAUUUACUAUAGGAGUUGGGAGUCUAUUUGAUCAAUCAAAAAACAUUUUCUUAAAUACUUGAUGCUACCGUCCAAAAUUGCAGCCCAAAUUUGCCUUAGAUGCUACCGUUACCCAAAAUAAAAUCAAAAUAGGAGCCAGCGCAGUAUAAAUUUACAGAAUCAUUGAUUUCUUAAGCCAUGUAUUGCUUCACACUUUUUAGAAUCCAAUUUCUUCAAUCUCAAAUUGUCCCAGUUAAUUAAUUAUUGACCAUGAAAAGCAAGGAAAAAAAGAAAACCACAUUCAUGCAAAUUAUGUCAUCACCUGUCUUGCUUCUAAGGAAUGCUAGGGAUUCUUACAUCAACAGCUUCAAUGGCUGUGCCAAUGACGUUGGACGAGGCGGCGCGGUGGUCUGUCCGGUUCCACAUGUGUUGAGUACAUAAAAGCACCAGGUCGGCCAUGCUACUAUUUCCGCCCCGGCACGGAUCGCUUCAGCCAAAGUGAUAUGAGCAGAACACGUGGGCUAACAUGAGCCGACCAGAGAUGAAUACAACCAGGGAAAAAUACCGACCAGAGGUAUAUACCGAGCGGGCACUCAUCCCCAGAGAAGCGAGAACACGAUCCCACAGAAUCGUGGUAGUUGCGCUUUUCCCAAAACCGUUGAAGGACACGCGAGAUCCACGUUUGCCCACAAUGUAACAAUUAGAGUCCCAUGAGGGGCUGCCACUACCUGAAAAAGGUGGGAUGAAUGGCAAACGGAAACGUGGGGAUAACGGCUAUAAAAGAAGAAGAAAUCGAUGAAGAAAAGGAAGAAAAACUGAGAGAGGGAAAACGCUGCCAAAUUGCAACCAGGCCAUUUCCUUACAAAUUUCUAACAAACUUCUUGAAUCCAAAUUACAUUGUUUUCCCGUAAAUACCUUGUGCUAACUUAGGCAUCGGAGGGUUUACGCCGGCAAAACCACCGGCGUCUUUGACCCAUUUUUGUGAACGCAGGUCUAGUGAGAGAAAUGAGGGUGAUACCAGCCUUAGUGGUUCGAACAAACAGUCGAUAAUACAAACGUUGGUGAAAGAAUCUGGUCGGUCCAAGGGCGAGCAGAUUUCAGCAUCAACAUUUUGGCGCCGUCUAUGGGGAGCUGGAUAAAAAGCUACCACCGAAUCAGUAAUUACCGGAGAAACAGCGAACGAUUGUUAUGGAUGUGCCGAGAAAGGAUGCUUUGAGGGAGGAUAACGAAACUGUGGAGACAAUUACUCUCCGGAAAAUUACAAACGAAGCCCGGGAGAGGAUGAUGCAAGACCGAUUGGAACGGAUGGAGAAACAAAUGGAGACUCUCGCGACCAUACUGUAUGAGCUGAGGGAUGAGCGGAGAAAGGAUUGUGAAACCCCCGUGGGGAGAGAUGAUGUUGGAGCAGAGCCCAGCUUCCGGAGGCGUAGAGUUGAGGAAAUCCCUCCGCCGGUAGACCAACUUGAUGGGGUGCAUCCCCACAGAAGCACUAGUCGGGUUUUAGGAGAACGAGUAGAUGAAAGAAGGGACCAACCUCGCCCCGGAUGGGUACCGGAGAUUGAUGGCCGAGGGGCCAGUAUUGAUGAAGGAGAGCUCAGACAGCGGUUGCAAAACCCCGAGCAGGAACGAGCUCAGAUAGCUGCGCGUGAUCCUGACCGUGCUAUAGAAUUGGAGGAAGAAGUGUGCAAAUUAGCGCAAGUGAUAGAGGAGAUACAGGGCAAGAAAAAGCCCCUGAGCUGGAGGAUAAUGCUAGAUGAAGAAUCUCCAUUAUCAGCUGUGAUCAUGGGUACCAUAAUCCCAAGAGAUUUCCGCUUCCCCGACCUCAAAUACUCCGGGCGAAGUGAUCCACUGGUGCAUAUUGAACGUUUCAACGACGUGACGGGCGUGCAAGGGUUAACACCAGCCCAGAGAUGUAGGGUGUUACCAUUGACACUGGAAGGACGAGACCGAGAAUGGUACCGCAAGCUGACACGAGGAAGUAUCAGAGGGUACGAGUAGAUGUGCCAAGAGUUGGCCGAACAGUUCCGAGGAGCAGUGGCCCCAGAGGAUGAUAUGAUGGAGCUAAUAGGAAUGAAGCAGGAGGAACAAGAAUCCCUUCGGGAUUUUGUAAAACGAUAUCACCGAGCCGUGCUUGAUUUGGGAGCUUUCAAUCACCCGCAGGCGUUGAGGGGAUUAAAGGAGGGAGUGAGGAUAGGCCGGCUAUGGUAUAACCUGAGAAGUCCCUUGGUACAGAAUUACUCAGCGGGGUAUGAGCAGGCAAAGAGAGACAUUGAAAUCGAAGAGGAAAAGUCGGCGAUGAUAAAAAGUGAACAGCUGAAGGAGCUGAGAAGAAAGGAAAGGAGAACCCCGAGUGGGAGCGGAUCGGGAAAGCGAGUUGGGGAAUCUUCAGCUAAGGGCGGAAUAUCAGCUCGGUCCCGCCCUUACCCUGUAGCUUUGAGACCGCAAUAGUUCCAACACAGCCGAGCCCAACCUCCUCGUACUUCAUUCCCGGAGCGGCAACGAGAAUUCAGGCAAAUGGCUGCCCGCCCUUAUCACAACGCUCCCAGACCGUUACAUACAAGUGGUUCCAGGGUAGGAAGACCAGACCAGCUAGCGACUAUACCAGCCUGAGAUGACAUUCAGGAUAGCCGAGCAGUUCAACUGAUAGACCAGAGCUUGGCAUAUAGACAGUACACUCCAUUGAAGAUCUCCAUGGAGGAAUUGUAUGAGAGGAUCGAAGGACGAGGCCUGCUGUACCCUCCAGCCCCUAUAACAAAACCGGCUCACCGACGGGAUAAUAACAGAUUCUGCAAGUUCCACGACACUCAUGGUCACACAAUCGACCAAUGUCGUGACCUGAAGAUUCAGGUGGAGGACUUAGUACGGAACCGGUACUUGGAUGAGUAUGUAGAGGGGGUGUCCCUGAUCAUCGAAUCACAGUAUACACGGGAUGAAGAAGUUCAGAGGGGUCUGGGAGGUGAACAGCCGACCAUCCAUGUGAUAGCUGGGGGGCCAACAUUGGCCGGGGAUUCGAACAGGGCACGGAAGAACUAUGAGAGAUAUGCCCUGACUAGCAAAGAAGUGCUUUUCAAUUUGCCGGCAACCAAGAAGGCAAAAGUGCGGCAAGUUCCCAUUAUGUGGACAGAUGACGAUGAAGAGGGUAUCUUAUAUCCGCAUAAAGAUGCACUGGUGAUCAAGGCAAUGGUGGCUGGUGCAGAAUUGUGACGAGUACUAGUAGACACAGGCAGCUCGGUUGACAUCCUGUUUAAGUCGGCUCUAGAUGAUAUGGGGAUUGCAGACUUGAAAUUAGAGCGGACAAAUACAUCCUUAAAGGGAUUUGGAGUGGGACGGUUAACUCCCAUGGGGAUCAUCGAACUCCCAAUUACUAUGGGGACGAAGCCAUUUGAAAGAACAAUGAUGUUGGAUUUUGUCGUGGUAGAAGAAAGAAGCCCUUACCAGAUGAUACUGGGGAGACCAUUCAUGAGGAUAAGUCAAUGCGUUGUAUCCACGCAUUACUUGGCACUGAAAUACAGAGUAAAUAGGGUGGUUGGCGUUGUAAAAGGCGACCAGAGGAUGACAAUGAGUUGUUAUGCUACAGCGGCCAAGGAGACACUGCAGGUUACUUCUCUAGAUAAUCGAGGAGAGUCCAAAAAGGGCCGCCAAGAGCCUGUUGAGAAACUGAAAGAAGUUGCGGUAAGCAAAAGCAACCCGAGCAGAAUAGUGAAGAUCGGGUCAGGAUUGGUUGGGGCAGUAAAAAGCGAGCUGAUAAAUUGCCUACAGUCUCAUGCGGAUAUAUUCGCCUGGUCUCAUGAAGAUAUGCCCGGAAUUGAUCGCGGGGUAGCUUGCCACAAGUUGGCAAUCAAGAAGGGGGCAAGGCCGGUGAGACAGAAGAUGAGAUGCUUCAACUAGGAAAGGUACGAGGCCAUAAAUGCCGAGGUGGAAAAGCUGUUGAAAGUAGGGGUGGGCAAAAAAAGCUGAUUAAUUAAAAAUCGAACCGAACCGAUCGGUUCGGUUCAGUUUUUUUGCGGUUUUUUUAUAACCAAAAAACCGAAAUAGUAAUAUUAAAAAAAUAGUAAAACCAAUCGGUUCGGUUUUCGGUUUUAAAAGAAAAACCGCAAAACCGAACUGAAAUCUCAAAUAAACCGAUUGUUUUGAAAGCUAAAGCUAAAACCCAAAAGCCUAAAAUCUAAAUCUAAACUUUUGACUUCUGUCUUCUUCGGUUCCCGACUUCCCGCUGGCCGCUGCUCGUCGUGACUUCUUCUGUUCCCGCUGGCCGUGCGGCAUCCUUCGCUGUAAUUUUUGUGAUCGUGCGGCAUCCCUCGCUGUAAUUUUUGCUUCUGCUAACCUUGUUACUGUCUCAACUGCACUCUUUUCAACAGAGUUGAAAUCAUUCUGCUUUUUGGCCUCCGUUGUCUGCACCCAGACCUUUACAAAUUGACCUUGUUGAUUGAUUGCUUUUGCUUGGGAAAUCACAGAGAAGAUGCAACACAUCAGGUGGGAUGCACUUUCCUUCUUGGGCAUAUUAAAAAAUUAAUUUUAACUUUUUUCUUUAAACCAAAAAAGAAAAAGAAAAAUUAUUAUCCAUAUGUCAUCAUCAUCAAUUGGAAUUGGUCAUAAUUUGGGACCACCAUGUUUGUGCUGCCAUGUCAAAUUUUUCUGCAGUUCUCUUUUUCAUUUUUUUAUAAUAUAUAAUCUCGAUUUUUGUAGAUAGUUUAUGUAAUAAUUAAUAUAUAUAUUCUUGGUUGGCCAAAAUGAAUACAAAUGCAAUUAAUGAAUGAAGAAGUUAUUCAUAAAGCAUCAUUUAUUUAUUUGUUCAUUGCGGUUAAGUUGUAUGCGAUCUAUUUGGUUGUUGGUUACAACCAGUUAAAUAUUUAUUUAAAAAUAAAAUAUAACCUGUUAAUUAAGAUGAAUGUUGUAAUAUGAAGUCUCUUAAUUUUGUAAAAUGUGCGUGGUUAUUCAAUAAUUUUGUAAAAUGGUAGAUUUAUUAAUUUAAAGUUUUAAAUUUAAAAAAGCCCAAAAUAGGCCCAAUAGGCCCAUAAUCGAAAUAAUCGAACCGAAUCGAAUCGAAUUAUUUCAAUUAAUCGAGUAUUUGAUUAUUUCGGUAAUUUGAUUAAUCGCGAUUAUGAUUUUAAAAUAAUCGUAAUCGAACGAUUAUGAAAAAUUUAGUAAAAAACCGAACCGAACCGAACCGCGCCCACCUCUAGUUGAAAGCAGGAUUUAUAAGGGAAGCCAAGUACCCAGAAUGGAUUUCAAAUGUAGUCCUGGUAAAAAAGGCCAACGGGAAGUGGAGAAUGUGUGUGAACUUCACGGACCUCAAUAAGGCAUGCUCAAAGGACAACUUUCCCCUACCCAAAAUAGAUCAGCUGGUGGACUCAACAGCAUGUCACAGUCUGCUCAGUUUCAUGGAUGCCUUUUCUGGAUACAACCAGAUACCCAUGGACGAGCAUGAUGAGGAAAGCACUGCCUUUAUAACUAACAUGGGUUUGUUUUGCUACAUGGUAAUGCCUUUUGGCCUAAAAAAUGCAGGAGCCACCUAUCAAAUGUUGGUAACCAAUAUCUUCAAACCGCUGAUUGGACACACUAUGGAGGUAUAUGUGGAUGAUAUGAUUACAAAGUCCAAAGAGCCGAGGGAUCAUGUGAAGCAUCUAGAAGAGACCUUUGAAUUACUGAGGAAGUAUGAGAUGAAACUAAACCCGGAGAAAUGUGCAUUUGGGGUUAGCUCGGGCAAAUUUCUGGGAUUCCUGGUAAGCCACCGAGGGAUUGAGGCCAACCCCGAAAAAAUACGAGCGGUUACAGAUAUGAGAUCUCCACGGACAGUUAAAGAGGUGCAGAGCCUUACAGGGAAGUUGGCAGCAUUGAACCGAUUCAUCUCGCGGGCCACAGAUAAAUGCCACACUUUCUUCCAAAUCAUAAAGAAAAGGAGAAAGAUGGAAUGGACAUCAGAGUGCGAGGAAGCAUUUGGGCAGCUGAAGGAAUAUCUGGCCCGUGCACCGUUACUAUCAACUCCGAGAGAGGGUGACCAGCUGCUUUUGUACUUGGCAAUCUCCAAGCGGGCUACCAGCUCGGUCUUAGUCAGGGAAGAAGAAGGGAAGCAACACCUGGUAUACUACACGAGCAAGGCCCUGGUGAACGCAGAAAUCAGAUAUCCACUAAUGGAGAAGUGGGCGCUGGCUCUGAUAACGGCAGCACGCAAACUCCGACCAUAUUUCCAAGCCCACCAGAUCGUUGUGAUGACUGACCAGCCCCUUCGGCAAGUGCUUCAAAAAUCAGAUGCGUCUGGUCGGUUAGUAAAAUGGUCUGUGGAGCUGAGCGAAUUUGACCUGUCCUACAGGCCCCAAGGAGCAAUCAAGGCCCAAGCCCUAGUAGAAUUUAUGGUAGACCGAGCUGAACCAGUGGAAGGAGAUCGGGAGGAGUAACAGUUAGAGCAUGAGAAAACAAAGGGGAUGUGGUUGGUAAUGGUUGACGGAUCAUGUAGUGAGCAAGGAUCCAGAGCAGGGGUUGUAAUACGGAGCCCAGAAGGAUCCGAAAUAACGUAUGCAGUGAAGUUCGAAUUUCAGCUCACAAACAACCAAGCUGAAUAUGAAGCCUUUAUCACCGGGCUCGGACUCGCACACGCCUUAAAAGCAGAGAUGGUAGAAAUCCGAACAGAUUCCCAAUUGGUAUGUAAUCAGCUCAAUGAUCAGUUCCAAGCAAGGGGAGAGAAGAUGGGCCUUUAUUUGAAGAAGGCGAAGUAGAUGGUCGGACUUUUUCAAGAGGUGGAGGUAAAGUAGAUAUCCCGGAAUGAGAAUUACCGAGCGGAUAUGCUGGCUAGGAUGGCUGCAAUUGCAGACCCGAAAUUACCUAAGUCGGUCCCACUAGAGGUAAGGAACUCGCCGAGCAUAGGGGAGGAAGUGGAGGUGAUGAGAGUAAGCACUGAAGAAUCCUGAAUGGACCCGAUUCGCGCGUAUGUCCGCGACGGAGUUUUGCCUGAGGACAAAAGGCAAGCGAGAAAGUUAAAAUACCGAGCAACGAGGUACACGUUAUUAGAUGAAGUGCUGUAUCGCCGAGGGUUCACCUUGCCCCUUUUGCGAUGUGUGGAUGAUGAGGAGGCAGAUUAUAUACUAAGGGAGAUUCAUGAAGGAAUUUGCGGCAAUCACUCGGGAGCAAGAACUUUAGCCUUUAAGGUACUCCGUCAAGGGUACUUCUGGCCAACCAUGCACCAGGAUGCAAAAAAGAUGGCAAAAAACUGUAAAAUGUGCCAAAGCUUCUCUGAGGUCCCCACACAACCCCCAGAAAAGCUAACCAUUAUGACAUCCCCAUGGCCUUUUGCACAAUGGGGAAUCGACCUGAUUGGUCCGUUACCGAAAGGGCGAGGAGCGGCAACCCAUGCAAUUGUAGCAGUAGACUACUUCACCAAGUGGAUAGAGAUGGGGGUCCUUAGCCAAAUCACAGAGAGAAAGACAACGGAUUUUAUCUGGAAGAAUAUCAUCUGCAGAUACAGAAUUCCUUAUACCAUCAUUACCGAUAAUGGGAAGCAGUUUGACAACAACAACUUCAGAGAGUUUUGCCGAAACCUAGGGGUGGAUUUGAAGUUCUGCACCCCCGCACACCCCUAGGCAAACGGACAAGUGGAAGCAGCCAAUAAAAUGGUAAAGAAACUCCUGAAGACUAGACUGGGAGAGAAGAAAGGAGCUUGGGUUGACGAGCUACCAGGGGUAUUGUGGGCUUACCGGACGACUCACAAAACCGCUACAGGGGAAACCCCGUUUGCCUUAGCUUUUGGUCAUGAGGCGGUAGUCCCAGCAGAAAUUGGAGUAGGAACACAUCGGACGAAAUACUUCAAUGAGGAGCAAAAUGGCGAGCAGAUCUGCUUGAGCUUGGACCUGCUGGAGGAGAAAAGGGAAGGGGCUUCGCAGAAAAUGGCCUAGUGUCAGCAAAGGGUCACGCGUUAUUACAACAAGAACGUACGCGUGAGGCAGUUCCGAACAGAAGAUUGGGUGCUCAGGAAGGUGAGCCAAAACACCAGGGAUCCCAACCAUGGAGCUCUUGGUCCGAAAUGGGAAGGCCCGUACAGGGUGAUACGAGCAACUGGACCAGGAGCCUACAAGCUGGCGUAUCCAGACGGACGAAAGGUGAAGAGGUCGUGGAACGUGGAGCACUUGAAAAAGUACUUCCAGUAAGCAAAGUGCUCUACUAGUUUUCAUUUUGAUAAGUUAUUUCUGUUAUGAGCAAUGUGAUUUGUGACACACACAUAUAUCCCAUACUUCUGUAACGCAUUCGAAAUUCAAUAAAGAUGAAUUCAGUAUGGAACCCUUCUGCUAGUAAGCCCAUUAAAUGCUUACUAAUGCAAGAAAGUGCAUGUUUCUGCUCGGUCAACGAAAGACCAACAGCUAAAGCUUCGAAAAAUCUAUUAAGGCAACAAAGUGCCUGUUUCUGCUCGGUCAACGAAAGACCAGCAGCUAAGCUUUGAAAAAUCUACUAAGGCAACAAAGUGCCUGUUUCUGCUCGGUCAACGAAAGACCAGCAGCUAAAGCUUCGAAAAGUCUACUAAGGCAACAAAGUGCCUGUUUCUGCUCGGUCAACGAAAGACCAGCAGCUAAAGCUUCGAAAAAUCUACUAAGGCAACAAAGUGCCUACUUCUGCUCGGUCAACGAAAAACCAGCAGCUAAAUUUACGAACUUUUACUAAGGCAAGUAAGUGUCUGCUCCUGCUCGGUCACCGAAGACCAGCAAGCGAUUUUGCGAAAAUUUUACUAAGGCAAACGGAUGCCUAUUCCUGUUCGAUGCACUAAAGAACCAACAGGCAAAACCAGAAAAGAAAGCCAAUAGAGAGCAUUCAAAUAAUUUUUUAUAAGCGUUCAAAUGUUUACAAAGCAAGUGAAAAACUAGAGUCUUUACAAAAAUAGACCUAAGGAUUAGGAGGAUCAACGACCUCAGCAGGUGAAGGGUCAGCUAUUUCGGGAGGUGGAAGGUCAGCAAUAUCGGAGGGAGGAGGCACGGACCCCUGUCCCACUUCAAAAACACGCUGCCCAGCUUCUCCCUCAUACACCCCAUCCAAAGGAGCCUCUACCUGGUCCUGCUCACCCUGCUCCUUAUCUGCUUGGUCGACAUCUGCCAUAUACCGCUGCACUCCGGCCUCCAGCUUGCUCAUGUCCAGCUCGGGAUAUUCUGUCUUAAGCACAGACAUGAUGCACUUGUAGGAGAAGGCAACCCCAGAAUCAUACUCGGCAUCCAGCCGAUCAUCCACAUCAGCAGAUUUGCCUUUCUCCUCAGCCAGCUGCUCACCCAAGGAUUUUAUUUCCCCCUCAACGGCGGUCCUCAAAGUAUCCCUUUCAGUUUGAGUAGCCUGAAGAUCAGAUCUCAGGUCACCCAACUCGCCCUCAAGUUUGGAGGAAGUGGAUUCAGCAACCGCAACUUUCUCCUCUAGCUCCGUGAUCUGCUUAUUCAGCUCAGCCAGCUUCUCCUUGGAGCGAUCAGCAGAGUCAGCUUUCUUCUUCAAUUCCUGGUUGUCAGCCUGGAGCUUCCUCUCAUGGCGCGCGGACCCAAUCUUGUAGCACGAAACUAUGGUUGCCAGCCUGAAGGACACUCUCUGAACAGAAGCAGCUAGCUCGGAGAGGUUCAUACUCUCGAUGUCCUUCACCAUCUUGGGCCCCACCGAUCUCUUGUAAUCCUUUUGAUACGAGCUCAGGUAGUCCGCUUGAUCCCGAGAUGGUAGAGGAGAAGAUCGGUCCCCAGAUGGGUAGCUGACCUCAGGACUUUUGUCAGAAGUUUUCUCCCCGCCACUCUUACGGGGUGGAGGAGGGGGCAGAGCAGGGACAGGAGCCUUGGAAGGGCCGACACUGGUUUUCUUUGGAGGAGGAGGGGGGUUGCUGGAGCUGCUUGGAGCCCGACCACGCUUCCUGCUCAUCGCGCUGAGGAUCGUGUUAUCCAUUCCAGCGGCUAGGUCUUCUAGGCCCGAACCGACCAGGCUUGUUGGUGACAGGAGGUCCUGGCAGGUAGACGCGUUCAACAGAGCAGUUUCCACCUGAAGCAAAGGUCGAUCUUCAAGCCCCCCGAUUAAACCCCACGACUCUGAAAUAGCAAAAGAGGUUAAAGAACUCGAUAAGUGACAAUUUGAGUAAGAGCAUAGGCAAAAAUGAACGACCUGGGGUGACAAAAUGUGUGGGAAGAUAAAUGUCCCCACCAAGCGAUCGAACCGCUGGACACCAGUUCCCCCCGGCAAAGAAGAAUUUGUUCUUCUAAUUUUUACAUGAAGAGGGAAACCCAGUGAUCGGUUUCCUCUUUGCAGAACUGGACAUAAAGUAGUACCAGCCCGCUUCCCUCGGGCUACUCCGUAGCUGGUACAGAUGUUUCACUUCAACAAGGGAAGGCUCCUCCGACCCGCACCUCUCCCAUAACACAAACAUUGCCGAGAGAACCCUCCAGCCAUUUGGGUGUAGUUGACUUGGGGCCAGGUGCAUACCGCCCAGUAUCUUGGCAAAAUAACGUUGAAGGGGCAGCCGAACUCUUAGUCUGAAACUCUCCAAAUGCAUCGUCACAUGCCCUUUCGGAGGCCGACUAGGGAUAUCACCUUUUCCAGGAACUACAAGAAGAACAUCGUUGGGGAUGUUGUAGAGGUUCCUAAGCUUAAAUAGAUCAGUGGGGGUGGUGGCACAAGCUAUGAAAUCAAUAGGGUAGGAAUCAGCCUCCACCCUAUGGCCAAGAUGCCUUUUCUUAGCAGGUCCGCUCGGUCCGGAACUGCUCCCCUCACCAUCACCAGCUCCCUCAGGGAUCCCAACCCCACUAAAGCUGUGGUUCUCACCAGAGCCCGACGCAGGUCCACCUCUAUUCCCUACAAGCUCUAGUUCGGGGGAAGGAGAGACAACCAAGGGUCGUGGGUACUCGAGGGUACCCCUGCCAUGGGAAGGACCUACGCUACUGGAGGGGCCUAAGAAAUUUGUGGGUAUUGACACGUUGAGGCCUGAAUCCCCUGAUUCUUCAUCACUUUCAUCAACAAUUAACUUUCUUUUCCGGUUUGACAUAUCGGAAUCCCAAAAGAAAACAAGGAAAACUCGAAUAUACGGAUACAAAAUGGGGCAACACGAAACCCAAUCAACAACAACCAGAGAAGGGAUUAAAAGCAGUACCUGAAAUGAAUUGGCCCUGAUAGCGCUGCCGUGACAGAGAAAAAACCAGCAAGUAGAGACUCCGGACGCAGGGAAUGUGAGUAAAGUUCAGAAAGGGGGGAGGUUAACGACGGAGAGACGAAUAACACGGAGAGACGAAUAACAAAACAAUGACAAUGUAAGUCUAGGGAUUUGAAACGAAAAAGGGGAAAUGAAAGCAUUUAAGUGAUGGGGAUGCCAGCUCACUCACCAAAUAUCGAGGACAGAUAGCCCGUCGUUUCAAAUUUCAAAUAUAAAGAAUCUGGAGGUGCCACAUCACCAACCGUUACAAGGGGCCAAGAUAGACGUAAGCCCAGAUAUGCAAUAAACAUGCUCAUUUAGGCCCAUACUCAGGUCGGAAUCUCCCCAAAAGAAAAAUGGUACCUCAGGUCCGCCCCAGCAAACAAAAGACCAGAUUAGAAGCUCCCCGGGUUGGUGAGAUUUGACCAUUAGUUUCUACUCUUCACUCAUUUCACUCGCCAGACCAGAAACUGGGGGACUGGUGUUGAGUACAUAAAAGCACCAGGUCGGCCAUGCUAUUAUUUCCGCCCCGGCACGGAUCGCUUCAGCCAAAGUGAUAUGAGCAGAACACGUGGGCUAACAUGAGCCGACCAGAGAUGAAUACAACCAGGGAAAAAUACCGACCAGAGGUAUAUACCGAGCGGACACUCAUCCCUAGAGAAGCGGGAACACGAUCCCACAGAAUUGCAGUAGUUGCGCUUUUCCCAGAACCGUUGAAGGACACGCGAGAUCCACGUUUGCCCACAAUGUAACAGUUAGAGUCCCAUGAGAGGCUGCCACUACCCGAAAAAGGUGGGAUGAAUGGCAAACGGAAACGUGGGGACAGCGGCUAUAAAAGAAGAAGAAAUCGAUGAAGAAAAUGGGGAAAAACUUAGAGAGGGAAAACGCUGCCAAAUUGCAACCAGGCCAUUUCCUUACAAAUUUCUAACAAACUUCUUGAAUCCAAAUUACAUUGUUUUCCCGUAAAUACCUUGUGCUAACUUAGGCAUCGGAGGGUUUACGCCGGCAAAACCACCGGCGUCUUUGACCCAUUUUUUUGAACGCAGGUCUAGUGAGAGAAAGGAGGGUGAUACCAGCCUUAGUGGUUCGAACAAACAGUCGAUAAUACAAACGUUGGUGAAAGAAUCUGGUCGGUCCAAGGGCGAGCAGAUUUCAGCAUCAACAAUAUGUUUCCCAUGUGCCCAAGAAUUUCAGUUAUGGCAGCUCCAAGUCAAGGGAUGACGAAAAGCUUAGAGAUAUGUUAAGACAGGCGACGUGUAAGCGGAUUAUUGGCCGGGAGGUGGGGCUGAAUCUACAGCGCCAAACGGAGGUGAUUGAGGCUACUACUAUGCGAAAGAGUUACAGUGUUGGCGUUGGAAAGAUAGGGAGAAUUGAUGAAGAUAAGGCUUGUUCCUUUGAGGAGAAUUUGUUGUACCCAAGGAGCAAAAGCCAUGCCAUUGGAAAUGUUUGCAUCGUUAAUUAGUUAGUGAAAUACUACUACAUUUAAUAUGCUAGUUACAGUUGAGAUUAAGGGUAAAAUUGCUUCAUUGUUUGUGUAUUAAUACAUUAUAUAUAAAAUGGUCACUCAUUUGGUGAUGUUCGUUAUGAAUCUUUGAACUUUUCAAAGUGAAACAAGUUCCGAAAUUUAGGCCAAUUCCCUUAAUUGGUUAUUGCAAUUUUUACAAUCAAUCAAAAUUAUUAAAUUUAUGCUGAUUGGACCAUUUCUGUUUCAUUUUCAAUCACUUGUUUAAAUUAAAUCUUUCGAUCGUGGUGGCCAUCAAGGGUAUAAAACGUAAUAUGUUGCAGAAUCCAAAUGUUUUCAACCCAUAGAAACACUUGUGGAAGUUUAUCAGACAUUACUAUUAUUAACAUUUAAAUCACUUAUUAGUUAAAACUAUUAACAAUUACGAUCGAUGUUGAUAUAUUGUAUAAUAACUAAUAGUAAUCCCUCGAAUUAGUUUAGUCUUCCUUGUUACCCUGCCUCUCAAACAUUGCAUACUUGUUCAGUUAUCUUAAUGUACGUGGUAGAUUUGGAGGCAUGCAUGGAUCGCUUUUGGAUGGCUCAAUUCAAAAGAAUCUUGAAGUUAAUUUUAUUUUUCAAAAUUGUCACAUACAUACAAUUUGAAACUUAUUAAAAGCCUAAAUACAUAUAAUUUAUGGUACAAUUUAGAGGUUUGUCAAAGUAUUAAUUCAGUAAUCUAUACUCCCACAAAAAUAUAGUUGGAGAUAUAUUUUGAUAAAAUCAAUAGAAAUUGGAAUCCAAACUCUUAUGGUGUGUUUACUUGAGGGUUUAGGGAAUGAGAAUGAAACCUAUGUUUAAUUGACAAAAUGUAAUUUGGGAAUGAGAAUAAAAUAUGUGGGUCCCACACAAUUUGGGAAUAAUGAAUGAGAAUUUCAUUCCUAUGGGGGGUUGUGAAUAAAAAUGAGGGAAUGAGAAUGAAAUUCAUUUUUACUUUUGUAUCCCUCUAAUUUUUUCAUAUUUUCCGAAUUAUCCUCGUUCAAAUCACAAUUAAUUUUAUUAUUUUAAA
This 14177-nucleotide long non-coding RNA is filed under the name Citrus x clementina. Its description in RNAcentral is "Citrus clementina (C. clementina) long non-coding RNA (CCLE_LNC000734)". Lineage: Eukaryota; Viridiplantae; Streptophyta; Magnoliopsida; Sapindales; Rutaceae. The record is from RNAcentral.